AAACUCCGCUAGGAGAAAAAAAAAAAAAAGUACUUGCGCCACACUGGAGAUUCGAUUGAUCAUCGCUAUCCCCUUUUGAGUUUUCCAGAUUUACGCAGUUCUCUACCAGAUACGAUGGUUUAGUAUUUUGCAAGAAGAGAUACCGAAUCAUAUUGAAAGGUUUAGG
This is a long non-coding RNA of Quercus robur (English oak), 166 nucleotides long. RefSeq lists it as uncharacterized. The record is from RefSeq and is a predicted model, not a curated record. The transcript has 2 exons. Lineage: Eukaryota; Viridiplantae; Streptophyta; Magnoliopsida; Fagales; Fagaceae.